GAUGAAGAACGCAGCGAAAUGCGAUAAGUAGUGUGAAUUGCAGAAUUCAGUGAAUCAUCGAAUAUUUGAACGCACAUUGCGCCCCAUGGUAUUCCGUGGGGCAUGCCUGUUCGAGCGUCAUUUACCCCCUCAAGCUCCGCUUGGUGUUGGGCGUCUGUCCCGCUUCGCGCGCGGACUCGCCCCAAAGGUAUUGGCAGCGGUCGUGCCAGCUUCUCGCGCAGCACAUUGCGCUUCUCGAGGCACCGGUGGGCCCGCGUCCAUCAAGCUCACCCCCCCAGUUUGACCUCGGAUCAGGUAGGGAUACCCGCUGAACUUAAGCAUAUCAAUAAGCGGAGGA
This 337-nucleotide unclassified non-coding RNA is filed under the name soil metagenome. RNAcentral describes it as "partial contains 5.8S ribosomal RNA, internal transcribed spacer 2, and large subunit ribosomal RNA". The stretch from base 1 to 120 matches the Rfam family "5.8S ribosomal RNA", at positions 35 to 154 of the family's 154-position model. The record is from RNAcentral.